GCUGGGCAUAGGUGACGUGUGCUUGUAGUCCAGCUACUUGGGGGGCUGAGGUGGGAGAAUUGCUUGAGCCCAGGAGGUUGAGGCUGCAGUGAGCUAUGAUUAUACCACUGCACUCUAGCCUGGGCUAGAGAGUGAGAACCUUUCUCUA
This 148-nucleotide small RNA is filed under the name Macaca fascicularis (crab-eating macaque). RNAcentral's name for it is "Metazoan signal recognition particle RNA (ENSMFAG00000061575.1)". The record is from Rfam by way of RNAcentral. Lineage: Eukaryota; Metazoa; Chordata; Mammalia; Primates; Cercopithecidae.